This 2568-nucleotide long non-coding RNA is filed under the name Sus scrofa (pig). Its description in RNAcentral is "lncRNA (ENSSSCG00055030951.1)". Lineage: Eukaryota; Metazoa; Chordata; Mammalia; Artiodactyla; Suidae. The record is from RNAcentral.
AAGUCCUUAUUGGCCUCUGCUGAGAUACCUUCUCUCUCAGUGGCUGUGGUUAUCAGCUGUCUCCAAUGCAUCUCAGUUGAUGGAGCAAGUUGUUACUCCUGCCCAGUCCACCACCACUGCUGCUGGCUGCUGGACCACCCGCUAACCAGAGUGUUUGUUACAAAAUGAAGAUGAAGCAGCUGGAACUUGGGUCUGCGAAGAGAGGCUCUGUCUUUCCUUGCUUGGCCUCUGAAAUAUGUACUCCAGUCAUGAAGCAGAGAAUGUUAUAGAGAAGACAAAGAAUUAAAUGAACCUUCUGAGGACUUCAAGCCUGGCAAGCAGCCUCUCAGACAGCUCCGCCUGCUCCAAAAGAGGUAAAGGAGAAGCCAGAAUAUAUAGGAAUUUUACAACAAAAAAACAGGUGCUAAAUCCCAGCCAUACACCAGUGCUAUAUCAUUACAAGUCAAGGUCUAUUUCUGGGAGUGACUGUGUGUCUGACCAAAGAGAUGAGUAUCGAGGAAGAAGGCCUCCCUCGUCUAGGACACCAUUUUCUGGAAAAAAAUGAACAUCUGUAAGGACAGCCAGCUAGGCUGUUACAAGGCCUCCUCCUUCCAUCACCCCACAGGGAGUAAAUCUGGGCAGGGAAGGACCCAGCCAGAUGUGGAUGUCUGCAUGCUGCUGGGGCAACAUCCCUGCUGCUUGCACAGUUGGAAUAACGUGCCACUAUGAGGUGGCUACUUCGUGAACCGGAGGUUCUCAUUCAGAGUAUAAAUUCAGAGGAAAGACAUCUUCAGGUAAAGAAGGAACAGAAAAUACCAAGUGGUUCUCCACAGGGACCUGUAUGUUUUUCACUACCUAUGGGAGGGAAGUGAAAACCUGUGUUUAGGGAUCCAUUGAAGAAUUUGGUGGUAUUCAUCCUAGUUCAGAGCAACCCCAUGCUGAGCAGAUUGCAUUCCAUCAUGAAAUAAUUGGUAUAGAGGACCUUGAAUAGGCAUGCUCCAUACUUCCAGCAUUUAGUAAAACUCAAAUGGCAGCUGUAAUGACAUUAGUUUAUCACUUCUCAUUCAUCAAAGACUAAAAGUAUUGGAGAAAUUCAUUGGAUAAUAUAACAUCCAUUACACCUUGACUCUGUAUCAGUGAUCAAAGGUGUAAAUACCAUAAGCACGACACUGAUGUUUAUACUCCAAAGUUUGACACCUCACUUUGGGCACAGGAAUAUUAAAAUGUUCUUAGCUAUAAUUCCUCUCCAAAUGUAAAAUUAAUCAUCAAGGCUUUCAAUAGCUUUACUUACUAUGCUGCACCUUAUUUUUUACAACAACCUAAGGAAAUACUCUAGCUACUGAGGCAGUGUUAUUGUAUGCCAAAAGGUGGAGGAGACUGCUAAUAAAGCAAAACCAACCCAAACCAAACCACCACCAACAACAAAACCCAGAAAACCAACUACUGAUAAUGCAGAGGUAAGUUUUUAUUAGGGGUUCUAAAGUGACAUAUGCCAGCUAAAUUAAACUUUUUAAGAUGGUGGAUUAGCCACAGAGUGAAAUCUUUCACACAGACCUCAAAGAAAUCAUAGAAAAGAGUUUUUUAAAAAAUGAUUAAAUACAUAUUUAUGCUUGGAAACCAAAGAAGAGAAUCUCUACAGAUUAGAAAGACAUACCUCAAAAUAGGAAACAAAUAGGAAGCGACAGUGGUAAAAAGAGGCCAAUGCUUUCAGAAAACUAUACUGGUCUAAAGGCAUAUAUAUACACAUAUAUAGGUACAUGUGUAUGUGUGCACACACAUUUGCAGGAAAGAUUUUAUGAAACAUACCAUCUAGUUGUUUAUACUACAAGGGUCAUUUAAAACCUGAACUUUAGGUUCUCCAAAUUUAGGUUAAUAUUGUUGAGAUUUAGGUGAUGUCCUAAGGAGAUCAUUUAGAAUUCAUGAUGGACAAAAAAGUCAUUCUUAGAAAAUGAAAAAACAAGAGCAAGACACCAAGCAUCUGAAAAUCUAACAUGUGAAGGAAGGAAAACACAAUGCACUUAUGGAAGAGUUUAAACUUGGAAAGAAGAGAAAUAAUGCAGCAAUUUGAAAAUGUUUUUAAUAUGUGUAUCUAGUACCCAGGAAGAUAGCAAAUAAAGAUAUAAAUAGUUAUUUGCUUUUUUUAUAAAAAAAUAUAGAAAAUAUGCUAUUGACCAAUGCCAGGCACAUAUUAAACACUUUAUGAAAUUCAGCCAUUAUUUUCUUUCACUAUAAUUUUGGCUUCAUGAAAGCAGAGAAUUUUGUUUGUUUUAUUUACUGCUAUGUUCUCCAGCAUGUAGAAGAAUUUCUUACACAUGGAACAAAAAUUGAACAACUAAUUUUUAGAUAAAAAGGCUCAGAGGAAAUGAACCCAACUAGCAUCCAUGAAGAUGUGGGUUCGAUCCCUGGCCCUCACUCAGUGGGUUAAGGAUUCGGAGUUGCCAUGAGCUGCAGUGUAGGUCACAGACGUGGCUCAGAUCUGGCAUUGCUGUAGCUGUGAUGUAGGCUGGCAGCUAUAACUUGGAUUAGACCCCUAGCCUGGGAACUUCCAUAUGCUACAGGUGUGGCCCUAAGCACCAAAAGAAAAAAAAA